AACGAACGCUGGCGGCAGGCCUAACACAUGCAAGUCGAACGCCCGUAGCAAUACGGGAGUGGCAGACGGGUGAGUAACGCGUGGGAACGUGCCCUUCGGUUUCGGGAAUAACUCAGGGAAACGUUAGAGCUAAUACCGGAUACGUCCGUAAGGAGAAAGAUUUAUCGCCGAAGGAUCGGCCCGCGUCGGAUUAGCUAGUUGGUGAGGUAACGGCCCACCAAGGCGACGAUCCGUAGCUGGUCUGAGAGGANGAUCAGCCACACUGGGACUGAGACACGGCCCAGACU
This 287-nucleotide ribosomal RNA is filed under the name uncultured bacterium. RNAcentral's name for it is "partial 16S ribosomal RNA". It matches the Rfam family "Bacterial small subunit ribosomal RNA", at positions 29 to 337 of the family's 1533-position model. The record is from RNAcentral.